GAUGAACGCUGGCGGCGUGCCUAAUACAUGCAAGUCGAACGCUGAAGGAAGGAGCUUGCUCUUUCCGGAUGAGUUGCGAACGGGUGAGUAACGCGUAGGUAACCUGCCUGGUAGCGGGGGAUAACUAUUGGAAACGAUAGCUAAUACCGCAUAACAGUAGAUGUUGCAUGAUAUCUACUUAAAAGGUGCAAUUGCACCACUACCAGAUGGACCUGCGUUGUAUUAGCUAGUUGGUGAGGUAACGGCUCACCAAGGCGACGAUACAUAGCCGACCUGAGAGGGUGAGCGGCCGGCCUGGGACUGAGACCCGGCCCAGACUCCUACGGGAGGCGGCAGGAGGGAAUCGGCGGCCAUGGGCGGAAGACUGACCGAGAAAGGCCGAGGGAGUGUAGAAGGUUGUCGGAUCGGAAAGGUCGGUUGUAAGGGAAGAACGAGUGUGAGAGUGGAAAGUUGCCAGUGUGACGGUAACUUACCAGAAAGGGACGGCUAACUACGUG
This 497-nucleotide ribosomal RNA is filed under the name uncultured bacterium. RNAcentral describes it as "partial 16S ribosomal RNA". It matches the Rfam family "Bacterial small subunit ribosomal RNA", at positions 28 to 507 of the family's 1533-position model. The record is from RNAcentral.